This is a long non-coding RNA of Sarcophilus harrisii (Tasmanian devil), 1917 nucleotides long. The record is from Ensembl. NCBI's taxonomy places the organism in Eukaryota, Metazoa, Chordata, Mammalia, Dasyuromorphia, Dasyuridae.
GGGACGCUGGGGGGGGCAGGGGGGGUAGGGAAGGGGGCGCGGGGGGGGGCCGUAGUGUUUUUUGCAGUUUUCAAAUCUGUAUUUUUUUUGCUGUUUGCCUGGGGGGGGGAUGGGAAUGGGGUGGGUGGGGGGGUCUUACCUGGCCCGGUCCAGGGAGCACAGGGGACCCCUGACAAAAAGAACGAGAAGGCCAGAGGGAGGCAGAGAAAGGCUGGCUGAGAGAGCGGAGGGAUUAGAGGCCGCGCGCGGGAGAGAGAGAGAGAGAAAGCCCUUCCAGAGAGAGCCCGAGAAAAGGGGCGUUUGGGGAAACAGAGGCACCAAAAGCGGGGGGGGGGGGGCUUAGAGGCAGGCCGUUCAUACAUUUACCCGUGCCCACAAUGCCGCGCUCCUCUAUCACGGAGGCCCAGGUAAGGAGGCACUGGAAGAGAGGAGGAAAAGCAAGGAAGCCCAGGCGUGCAUCCCCAGCACAGUGCCCGGCGCUCGCCAGGAGCCAACCAAUACUGGGCAACAGAGAAAGAUAAGGGGCCGGGGAGGGCGAGCCCGAGCUAGAAAAGGACAGAGGGAAGAGGGAGGCCCGAGGAAGACGUGGAAUCUGUCCAGGCCGGGAAGAGUCAACCAACAAGCAAAGCAGUGAAAAAGACACGGAAAAUCAAAAGCAAGUGAAUAUAAAAUAAUAGAGGGAACAGGGAUGCCAGAGGAAGACACUAGCUCUGUCUAGGGCCGGGAAGAAUCAACUAACAAACAAAGCAGUGAUAAAGACAUGAAAAAUCAAAAGCAAAUUACUAUAAAAUAAUGAAGGGAAGAGGGAUGCAAGGAAAGUAGUAAUGACAUGAAAAAUCAAAUUACUAUAAAAUAAUAGAGGGAAGAGGGAUGCCCGAGGAAGACAUUGAAUCUCUCUAGGGCCAGGAAGAAUCAACUAACAAGCAAAGUAGUGAUAAAGACAUGGAAAAUCAAAAGCAAGUUACUAUAAAAUAAUAGAGGGAAGAGGGAUGCAAGGAAAGUAGUAAUGACAUGAAAAGUCAAAAUCAAAUUACCAGAAUAAUGAUACAGAGAUCGGAACAGAAGAGACAGCAGAUGUUUCUGUGUGUGUGUGUGUGUGUGUGUGUGUGUGUGUAUGUGUGUGUGUGUGUAAGUGUAUAUACACACAUGCAUACAUAAAUACACAUAUAUGGCAUCAAAUGCAGAUUGUAUUUGCCCAGAGAGACAUGGGAAGGCAGAGGGACAAAGGCACCUGCUGAGCUCUGUCUAGACACACGUUACCUCUGGAGACGGAGCCAGUGACCCAGAGACAAGGGGACACACAGGAGGGAGAGGUACCAGCAGGGAAGCCCCAUGAGAGAGAGAGAAGGCUUCAUGGCUCCAGAGAGAUGCUGAGGGCCAGCGGCCAGAGGGAGGGGCUGAGGAAUCUGGGCUAGGGCAAGCCAAGCGGUGUCCGGUCAGCUGUUGUCACAUGGAGACAGGAUCCCAAAUCUGCCUCCAUCCCUGCCUCCCUGAUGGGUCUGGCUCCUCACCCUGCUGAUGUCCUGGUCCUGGUUGCCGACUGGGGCUGCAGGCUCGGGGCUGGGGCGGCGUGGACCACCCUGUGAGGGUGUCCUGUCUAAUAAAGUUGAUGAAGAGAACGGUGUGGGCUGUUAUUCCAGCUGGGCCCCCUUCCUAGAAGCCCAGAUUUCAUCUCUCCCUCUCUUGGAAGGCCUCAGGCAUCCCUUUCCCCCAGUCCCUGCCCUCUCCAGGACCCGGGCAUCCAGGCUCCAGCUCCUCCCACCCCCAGCCUCCCUCCCUCCACUUGUUCCCUUAAAAUACCCACAACAGGUGCGGGUGUUACUUACAUGGUGGGGCCCAAAAUAGCCCCAGAGGCCUUGGUCGGGGGGAGGGCUGCCUGCCUGUCUGUGUGGGUCAGGGGGGAGGCCGCAGUCGGAG